Molecule: long non-coding RNA, 1196 nt
Filed under: Strigops habroptila (Kakapo)
Lineage: Eukaryota; Metazoa; Chordata; Aves; Psittaciformes; Psittacidae
Description: lncRNA (ENSSHBG00005015202.1)
Source: RNAcentral
GGAUAAGCUUUCGUUUGAACUGAAUCUUCUAAAAAUAGGUCCUUUAUCUCUCUUUUUUCUUUCCUUUUGUUUUUUUUUCUUUUUCUUUUUGAUUUGCAUUCACCAGAAGUGCACUCCUUAAUUUAUUAAAUCGUUGACUAGUAAUUUAAAGUACUGUAUUUAAAUGCAUAUGUUAGUCAAAUGGGAACAAUAACUUUUGGAGAUCAAAGCAUGUUCAAAUAUUCAGCAUUAUGGCCUAUUUGAUUAAGGUGUAACUUGAAUUAAUUAAUGCAUGAAUUCAAUAAUAAUAAUAACAAUAAUAAUAACAAAAAAAAAAAAAGUGCUUGAUAGACCGAAGGCCUGAAUGAACUGAUUAGAGAAACCUGAUUGUUUUCCUGCAUUGCUCAGGGAAACGUGUUGGCUUUUGUCCAGGCAUUGUCGGAAAGGAAGAUAUCCCAUCCCUUAAAGGGAAAGCUAUAUGGAAAAUUAAGAAGUCAAGUUAUAUAUAACAACACCUAAAACCUAGUAUCCUUUAUAGUUGAAAGGUGCAGAUGCAUGCUUUUUGGAGCAUUCUCAGAAUGUAAAUGAAAAAUAUUUAUUAUAUGCAUCCAAAUUGCAGCAGCUGGUUUCUUUUGCAGUCAUUGGUUGAGACUUUUUUGUAUUCCCCUAAAACUCACCGAAGAGACUCAACAGAUUGAUAUAGGUAGUUGCGCAGUGCCUUUACCUUACAUCCCCUAAAUUGCUGAAAGUGCCUCCAGGAACUGAGCUGGUCAGAGAUAGCAAAGGAAAGGGUUAAAAGGCACCAACACAAGCACUGGAGUGUUCUGUGCUGCCUCCUGGCACUGCACAGGACAGGAUAGAGAAAGAAAGAGCAAGAGUGAGGGAGAGGGAUGCAGGAGCAGAGGGCAGAGACCAUCAGCGCCCAUGGGAUACCUUCCUUCCCCAGCCAGUCUGAUAUUGCAGGGCUCAGCAUUUGCUUCUGCCAAAUAACUCAUAGUUGUGUUUAUGCAAGACUUUGAGUUCCCCAAGGUUGUUUAUAGAGACAUAGCUGCCAUCAUUGUAUCUGCCCUUCCUUUCCCUGAGAUGGCUUUUUGGCAGCCUGUCCCAGCUUGGGAGAGGCUGCAGGAUGCAGAAGGUACUAGGGCUCAGCAUGAACUGCGACAUCACCCAGUCAGGCAACCAGACUGCAGGGCUGUGCUUUUCUUUCCCUUGGAUUC